Molecule: ribosomal RNA, 944 nt
Filed under: Glomus macrocarpum
Lineage: Eukaryota; Fungi; Glomeromycota; Glomeromycetes; Glomerales; Glomeraceae
Description: eukaryotic LSU rRNA
Rfam family: Eukaryotic large subunit ribosomal RNA
Source: RNAcentral
GACCUCAAAUCAGGUAAGAAUACCCGCUGAACUUAAGCAUAUCAAUAAGCGGAGGAAAAGAAAAUAACAAUGAUUCCCCUAGUAACGGCGAGCGAAGAGGGAAUAGCUCAAAUUUUAAAUCUGUUGGGUCUUACCUAACCGAGUUGUAAUUUGAAGAAGCGUUUUCAGCGUGUUUGAUUUAGCCCAAAUCCUUUGGGAUAGGGUAUCAUGGAGGGUGAGAAUCCCGUCCGGCCUAAUCAAAUGUGCAUUACGAUACGUUUUCUAAGAGUCGAGUUGUUUGGGAUUGCAGCUCAAAAUGGGAGGUAAAUUUCUCCUAAGGCUAAAUAUAGGCGAGAGACCGAUAGCGAACAAGUACCGUGAGGGAAAGAUGAAAAGAACUUUGAAAAGAGAGUUAAACAGUACGUGAAAUUGUUGAAAGGGAAACGAUUAAAGUCAGUCGUACUAACGGGGAAUCAACCUUUUGAGGGUGGACUUGUGGGAUUCAGAGAGCCUUUGUCUUUCACAACCUGCUUUUUUUGGGUGCAAUUUGUCGUAUUGUAGGUCAGCAUCGGUUUCGACCGUUAUAAAAUGACUGGAGGAAUGUAGCUUCGAUCUUGUAUUGAAGUGUUAUAGCCUUUGGUAGAUGUAACGGAUGGGAUCGAGGAUUGCAAUGAAUGCCCUCAUGGGCUAUCCGCCUGGCCUCUGACAUGUCACUCUGGUGCCGAAAGCUUGCUUAUGGUGUUAUAGUGUACGGUCAAAAGGUUAGAACGGAAUAAAUUCGUUAAGGAUGUUGACGUAAUGGCUUUAAACGACCCGUCUUGAAACACGGACCAAGGAGUCUAACAUAUAUGCGAGUGUUUGGGCGUUGAAACCCUUACGCGUAAUAAACGUGAUUUAGGUGGGAUCCAUUUUAUGGAGCACCAUCGACCGAUCAGGAUAUUUUUUGAUAGAUUUGAGUAAGAGCA